RNAcentral lists this signal recognition particle RNA (302 nucleotides) under Prolemur simus (greater bamboo lemur). Its description in RNAcentral is "Metazoan signal recognition particle RNA (ENSPSMG00000015632.1)". It matches the Rfam family "Metazoan signal recognition particle RNA". From Rfam's summary of the family: The signal recognition particle (SRP) is a universally conserved ribonucleoprotein. It is involved in the co-translational targeting of proteins to membranes. The record is from RNAcentral. Lineage: Eukaryota; Metazoa; Chordata; Mammalia; Primates; Lemuridae.
GCUGGACACAGUGGCGCAUGCCUGUAGUCCUAGCUACUCAGGGAGGCUGAAGCAGGAGGAUCACUUGAGUCCAGGAGUUCUGGGCUGUAGUGUGCUAUGCCAAUCGGGUGUCUGCAUUAAGUUCAGCAUCACUAUGGUGACCUUCCAGGAGCAGGGGACCACCAGGUUGCCUAAAGAGGGACAAACAGGGCUAGGUCAGAAAUGGAGCAGGUCAAAACUCCCGUGCUGAUCAGUAGUGGGAUCACACCUGUGAAUAGCUACUCUGCACUCCAGCCUGGACAACACAGUGAGACCCCAUCUCU